This 643-nucleotide long non-coding RNA is filed under the name Physcomitrium patens. RNAcentral describes it as "long non-coding RNA (PPAT_LNC003704)". The record is from RNAcentral. Lineage: Eukaryota; Viridiplantae; Streptophyta; Bryopsida; Funariales; Funariaceae.
AUACCUAAUUCCUCUGUGCCUUCCUCGCUUUCCAUUAACGGCUUCGAGAGGUAUGCUGGACUAUUAGCAACGCUGUCGUAUUAUGUGCUUUCUUGCUCAAGAAUGCGCCGGGCAUCUGGCUAUAGAAGGUAGUAUGGAGAUUCGCUAAUAUUCAAGCAGUCUAUCGAUUUUUGACUGUUGGAAUAUAAACGACUACAAGAAUAUAUCGUAAAUCUAUACAGAUGUCCUUUGAUUGCUCGUCGAAAUCCUUUUUGCUCCAGCCGGUAAGUCUCUAGACGUUACAGAGAACCCCGAACAAUCCAAUCUGCUAAUCUCCAAUACCGCUUUUUACUCACGACCUUGUAUCCACUGACUGUCUUAUUAGAUUAAUCCAAAAAUUUUCAUUCACUCCGCAUACUCAAUCCUAUAGACACCCUUUUAAUUCUUCAAUCAUAUACGUAACUUCGAUUUCACAAAACAGUCAAGAGUAAUCACACCCACUUCAUUAAAACCCCGAUUCACCAAUACAACACUGACUUUCAGCAACGAUUGCCUCAGUGUUUCCAAAAUCCUAUGAAGAAAAAAAAAAUCCCAAUUUUGUCUUUUUUCUCCCCCAAAGCAUGAAGCUAGCUCUCCGACCCUUGAAACCCUUAUUCUCCCCCCC